CAGUCGCCGCGGUAAUACGUAGGUGGCAAGCGUUGUCCGAAAUUAUUGGGCGUAAAGGGCUCGCAGGCGGUUUCUUAAGCCUGAUGUGAAAGCCCCCGGCUCAACCGGGGAGGGUCAUUGGAAACUGGGAAACUUGAGUGCAGAAGAGGAGAGUGGAAUUCCACGUGUAGCGGUGAAAUGCGUAGAGAUGUGGAGGAACACCAGUGGCGAAGGCGACUCUCUGGUCUGUAACUGACGCUGAGGAGCGAAAGCGUGGGGUGCGAACAGGAUUAGAUACCCCCGUAGUCCCUGUCUCUUAUAC
Molecule: ribosomal RNA, 301 nt
Filed under: uncultured bacterium
Lineage: Bacteria
Description: partial 16S ribosomal RNA
Rfam family: Bacterial small subunit ribosomal RNA
Source: RNAcentral